GACGAACGCUGGCGGCGUGCUUAACACAUGCAAGUCGAACGAUGAAGCGGUGCUUGCACCGUGGAUUAGUGGCGAACGGGUGAGUAAUACGUGAGUGACCUACCUUUGACUCUGGGAUAAGCCUGGGAAACUGGGUCUAAUACCGGAUACGACCAAUCUCUGCAUGGGGUGUUGGUGGAAAGCGUUAUGGAGUGGUUUUAGAUGGGCUCACGGCCUAUCAGCAUGUUGGUGAGGUAAUGGCUUACCAAGGCGACGACGGGUAGCCGGCCUGAGAGGGUGACCGGCCACACUGGGACUGAGACACGGCCCAGACUCCUACGGGAGGCAGCAGUGGGGAAUAUUGCACAAUGGGCGCAAGCCUGAUGCAGCGACGCCGCGUGAGGGAUGACGGCCUUCGGGUUGUAAACCUCUGUUAGCAUCGAAGAAGCGAAAGUGACGGUAGGUGCAGAGAAAGCGCCGGCUAACUACGUG
Molecule: ribosomal RNA, 471 nt
Filed under: uncultured bacterium
Lineage: Bacteria
Description: partial 16S ribosomal RNA
Rfam family: Bacterial small subunit ribosomal RNA
Source: RNAcentral